GCCCCGUUAGCUCAAUGGAUAGAGUACUUGGCUUCGGACCAAGGGGUUAGAGGUUCGAAUCCUCUACGGGGCGCCA
This 76-nucleotide transfer RNA is filed under the name Dehalococcoidia bacterium. RNAcentral's name for it is "tRNA-Arg". It matches the Rfam family "tRNA". From Rfam's summary of the family: Transfer RNA (tRNA) molecules are approximately 80 nucleotides in length. Their secondary structure includes four short double-helical elements and three loops (D, anti-codon, and T loops). Lineage: Bacteria; Bacillati; Chloroflexota; Dehalococcoidia. The record is from RNAcentral.